GUGGCGCAUGUCUAUGAGACACAGUACCCCACUCAGCGAUCCUCUGCGGUCCAGCAAAUUCUAGCACUUGUUUGGAAAACAAAUCAAGUGAAAUAUUCAUGCUUUCAACACGGAAUAGGCCUGACUGUGUUGGUUCCCAGCAUACAAGGAACGAUGCGGACAGAACUGCCUGACACAUACGUCAGUCCACAGAGUUCUUAGAACUGGUUCAAGUCAGCUGUUGAACUAUGCCUGGUCAUCUAUUUACCGUUGUGCCCUCACUUGACAAGACAGGUACAAAUGCAAUAAUUUAAACAGUUCUGAGUUUUAAUUUUCUGAAGGUCAAAAGCAUUGUACUUAAAAAUUUCUUAAAAAUAAAAAGUUAAUUUGAAGUA
Non-coding RNA from Macaca mulatta (Rhesus monkey), 374 nucleotides. The record is from RefSeq and is a predicted model, not a curated record. NCBI's taxonomy places the organism in Eukaryota, Metazoa, Chordata, Mammalia, Primates, Cercopithecidae.